UAAUAUUGCGAGUCUGUUUUCUUUUAAAAAAAGUUACUUAGUCUUCAGAAAUGGGGACUGGGUAAACAGCAGGAAGAAAAGAUGAUUAUCAGCAGGACAAGAAAUAUUGUGCCAAAUGCACUUUCAAAGAUGCAGUGGGGAGGCAAUUCUUUUAUCACCAUUCAAAUGUUUCUUAAUUUGAGUUUUUGUAUGCUAAUGGAUAUAAAUCCUACUCAGUAUUCCUUACUGAACCUCUACCAUGCAAAAUCUACAGUUGGAGAACACAGUUGGAUUUCUAUUCUUGAAAGAGCUUUAUUUUGGAGAGGAGACCUAUUUCUAAAGGAAAAUUGAACAGAAGCUUGAUGACUUCCCAAGAACAAUUUGGUAGAAAAGAGUGCUGAUGAAGAAGAGAGGACAACACAAAAGAAGACACAGAAGCACCAUGGGCAAACCAUGGAACAAGAACUGGAAUGAAUAUCUAUUCCACUACCUGAACUAAAGACUGCAGACGGAGAAAGGGAAGACAGGGGUUUAACUGGCAAUUCAAAGUGAGGUGAUCAGCCUUCUGUUACAGAGUUAACUGUGUGUGAAAGAAUGUAAGAUUCAUGUAUACAUCUGACAGUGACAGCUGUAUGGCCACAGCUUCAUGCUAUCAAGGCCCUUCAGUACAAGAUUGAAGUGAAGUGAUGAUAUUUGACAUCCUUGACUUCAAAGGAAAGCUUUGAAAAUCUCACCAUUAGAUAAGAUGCUUGCAGUGGAUUUUUUUUUAAAUUUGUAAUUAGCCUUUAUCAGAUUGAGGAAGCUCCAUUCUAGUUCUAGUUUUCCAUGAGUUUUUAUUUUUAACUUUUAUCAGGAAUGGAUUUUAAAACUCAUCAAAUGCUUUUUAUGUAUCAAUGAGUUGAAACCUAUUUUUUUAUUUUAUUCUUAAUAUGACCAAUUACAUUGCCUUUCUAAUGUUAAGCUAACCUGAAUUUCUAGUAUAAACCAACUUGCUUAUGAUGAAGUCUUUUUACCAACUGCUGGGUUUACAUUUUUAAGAAUUUUGGGGUCUAUGUUCAUAAUGAGAUUGGACUGUAUGUUUCCCUUGUCAUACUCUCUUGAUUGGUUUUUGGUAUCAAGAAAAUCCAGUCUGAUACCAUGUAUUAGAGUUUAUCUUAUUUUGUCGUUCUCUGGAAAUAUGUAGGAUUGAUAUUAAUUUUUCAUUGUGCCUGUUAGUAAAGAUGUUUGAACCUAAACAUUAUUUUGGAGGAAGUUUUAUAUUGCUGUUUCAGUUUCUUUAUGUUUAUCUCAGUUUUUUAUUAUAUCUUUUGUCAAAUUUAUAAGUGGUCGUUUUCUAGAAAUUUUCUGGACAGUUUCUUCUGAAUUUCUCAAUUUAUUGGAAUAAAGUUAUUACAUACAGUUAUUAUCUUUGUAAUAUCUAUAGAAUCUCCUGUUUUAUUCCUGAUGUAAGUUAAUUUUCUCUUCUUAAUUAUUCUCUUGAAAAAAAAAUAUAUGUGUGUGUGUGUAUAUAUAUAUAUAAAUGUUACUAGCCUCCCAGUUUUGGCUUUGUCUUCUCUAUUAUAUUUAAUUAUUAGUUUCAUCCUCAUUCAUCAAUGCUCUUUCUUUAAUGGUUUCUUCUUUUUACUUUCUUUUUUGCUGUUCUUUUGUAAUUUCUCAAGACAGAUGCUUAAAGCAUUACUUUUAAGCCAUCUUUUCUUUUGAAUGUGUGCUUCUAAGGCUAUACAUUUUACAUGCUGUACUUUUCAAAUUUUAAUAUGUAGUAUUUUCAUUAUCAUUCAGUUUAGUAUACUUUCUUUUUUCUCCCAUGAUUUCCUUUCGAUGUGUUUUUAUAAUGUCCAAACAUAUAGUAAUUUUCUAGGUAUAUUUUGAUUGUUAAUAGUUGUUAAAAACAUAUACCUUUUUAAUUAAUUUAUUUGUACUUGUUUUAUGGCAUAGGAUACUGUCCAAUUUUUAUAUUUUUGCAUUUGGGGGCUAUAAUAUUUAUUAAAUCUUUCUUUCUCUGUAUCCUUCUUGAAUUUAUAUAUGCAAACUGCCACUGACUGUGCAUUUGGGUUCUUCUUAUAAUUUUAUUAUUUUAUAAAAUUAUGCAUUUUGAGGUCAUGUAAUUGAGUGGAUGUGUAUUUUAAACUGUUUAAACUUUCUUGGUGAUUCUUUUAUCAUUAUUUAUUUAUAUUUAAUGUGGUAACUGAUAUUUUUGUCAUAUUCACUAUCUUUAUAAAUUCUUAAACAUAUUGUUUUAUACAGUUAAUACUUACUUAGAGCUGCCUACAAAUUUACCACUUUAUUUUUUCUUCAUUUCUUUUUUCAUCUCAACCUUCUUUUGUAGCAGCAAUUUCAUUUGGCAUGAAGAAAAUACCUUAUUUACCUUUAGGGAGAAAUGUAAUAAUCUAGUCUUGCAUAGAUAAAUCUGGAGAAUAGCUGAAACCUGGGAGGUGGAGCUUGCAGUGAGCCGAGAUUGUGCCAUUGCACUCCAGCCUGGGUGAC
RNAcentral lists this long non-coding RNA (2463 nucleotides) under Homo sapiens (human). Its description in RNAcentral is "HSALNT0373649". Lineage: Eukaryota; Metazoa; Chordata; Mammalia; Primates; Hominidae. The record is from RNAcentral.